This 919-nucleotide ribosomal RNA is filed under the name uncultured archaeon. Its description in RNAcentral is "bacterial SSU rRNA". It matches the Rfam family "Archaeal small subunit ribosomal RNA", at positions 1 to 922 of the family's 1478-position model. The record is from RNAcentral.
UUCCGGUUGAUCCUGCCGGAGGUCAUUGCUAUCGGGGUCCGAUUUAGCCAUGCUAGUCGCACGGGUUUAGACCCGUGGCGGAAAGCUCAGUAACACGUGGCAAAACUACCCUAUGGAUCGGAAUACUCUCGGGAAACUGAGGCUAAUGCCGAAUACGAUUCCCAGUCUGGAAUGACGGGAGCUUCAAACGCUGAGGCGCCAUAGGAUGUUGCUGCGGCCGAUUAGGUAGACGGUGGGGUAACGGCCCACCGUGCCGAUAAUCGGUACGGGUUGUGAGAGCAAGAGCCCGGAGAUGGAUUCUGAGACAAGAAUCCAGGCCCUACGGGGCGCAGCAGGCGCGAAACCUUUACACUGCACGAAAGUGCGAUAAGGGGACCCCGAGUGCGAGGGCAUACAGUCCUCGCUUUUGUGUACCGUAAGGUGGUACACGAAUAAGAGCUGGGCAAGACCGGUGCCAGCCGCCGCGGUAAUACCGGCAGCUCAAGUGAUGACCGCUAUUAUUGGGCCUAAAGCGUCCGUAGCCGGCCGAACAGGUCCGUUGGGAAAUCUGCUCGCUUAACGAGCAGGCGUCCAGCGGAAACCAGUCGGCUUGGGGCCGGAAGACCUGAGGGGUACGUCUGGGGUAGGAGUGAAAUCCUGUAAUCCUGGACGGACCAUCGGUGGCGAAAGCGCCUCAGGAGGACGGACCCGACGGUGAGGGACGAAAGCUAGGGUCACGAACCGGAUUAGAUACCCGGGUAGUCCUAGCUGUAAACGAUGAUCGCUAGGUGUGGCGAUGGCUACGAGCCAUCGCUGUGCCGUAGGGAAGCCGUGAAGCGAUCCGCCUGGGAAGUACGUCCGCAAGGAUGAAGCUUAAAGGAAUUGGCGGGGGAGCACUACAACCGGAGGAGCCUGCGGUUCAAUUGGAUUCAACGCCGGA